This 165-nucleotide ribosomal RNA is filed under the name uncultured bacterium. RNAcentral's name for it is "partial 16S rRNA". It matches the Rfam family "Bacterial small subunit ribosomal RNA", at positions 355 to 511 of the family's 1533-position model. The record is from RNAcentral.
UAGGGAAUCUUCCACAAUGGACGCAAGUCUGAUGGAGCAACGCCGCGUGAGUGAAGAAGGUUUUCGGAUCGUAAAGCUCUGUUGUUGGUGAAGAAGGAUAGAGGGCAGUAACUGGUCUUUAUUUGACGGUAAUCAACCAGAAAGUCACGGCUAACUACGUGCCAG